This 447-nucleotide ribosomal RNA is filed under the name uncultured bacterium. RNAcentral's name for it is "bacterial SSU rRNA". It matches the Rfam family "Bacterial small subunit ribosomal RNA", at positions 355 to 825 of the family's 1533-position model. The record is from RNAcentral.
UCGGGAAUUUUGGGCAAUGGGCGAAAGCCUGACCCAGCAACGCCGCGUGAAGGAUGAAGUAUUUCGGUAUGUAAACUUCGUAAGAAUGGGAAGAAUAAAUGACGGUACUAUUUGUAAGGUCCGGCUAACUACGUGCCAGCAGCCGCGGUAAUACGUAGGGACCAAGCGUUGUUCGGAUUUACUGGGCGUAAAGGGCGCGUAGGCGGCGUGGUAAGUCAUCUGUGAAAUCUCCGAGCUUAACUCGGAACGGUCAGAUGAUACUGCUGUGCUAGAGUACAGAAAGGGCAAUCGGAAUUCUUGGUGUAGCGGUGAAAUGCGUAGAUAUCAAGAGGAACACCUGAGGCGAAGGCGGGUUGCUAGGCUGAUACUGACGCUGAGGCGCGAAAGCUAGGGUAGCAAACGGGAUUAGAUACCCAGGUAGUCCCUGAGCGGGCUGGCAAGGCGCAU